Long non-coding RNA from Piliocolobus tephrosceles (Ugandan red Colobus), 1468 nucleotides. RefSeq lists it as uncharacterized. The record is from RefSeq and is a predicted model, not a curated record. Lineage: Eukaryota; Metazoa; Chordata; Mammalia; Primates; Cercopithecidae. The transcript has 3 exons.
GGCAGGCCCCUGCGGUCAGGCCUCUGAGCCCAAGCCUGGACUAUACAUCCAGAUGGCCUGAGGCAAAUGAAGAACCACAGAAGAAGUGAAAAUGGUCAGUUCCUGCCUUAACUGAUGACACUACCUUGUGACAUUCCUUCUCCUGGACAGUGAGUCUCAGAAGCUCCCCACUGAGCACCUUGUGACCCCCGCCCCUGCCCGCCGGAGAACAACGAACGCCCUUUGACUGUACUCGUCCACGACCCACCCAAAUCCUAUAAAAGUGCCCCACCCCAUCUCCCUUUGCUGACUCAUUUUUUGAACUCAGCCCGCCUGCACCCAGGUGAUUAAAAAGCUUUAUUGAUCACACAAAGACCGGUUGGUGGUCUCUUCACAAGGACACGGGCAACACCUGCCUCAAAAAAAGAAAAAGAAAAAGAAAAAAAUAGUUGAUUAAAGAUUUGAAAGUGUUGCACUGUCCUAAAAACACAGGCUGGAUCCAAAGGCUGUGACAGCCUGAGACUCAAAGUAGCCCUUGGGCCCCCCACGUCGCUACAGGCAAGAAGGGAGCUGAGGAAGCCACUCAGCUCUCCAGCACCCAUCCUGGUGGGGCCACAGAGGACCGUGGGGAUAGGAGGUGUCCCCUCCACCGACCACAGCCCACAUCUCUUCCAGGAAGUUGCUCCCCGGGGUUGGGAUCCUCCCUCAGCCACCCGCUGGGACUUUGGAGCCGCUGCAGAGCCUGACUGCUGGGGUCUGCCUUCUCUCCCUUCCAAACCAGACCCUGGAAGCCCCUGUCCCUGCUCCUUGGUUGAAUACUGGGGGCGUGGGCAGCAAAUGCUUCAUCUUUUUAACUCAGAGCCCUCCAGCUUGGGAGGAGACACAGCUAGGCUGGAUACAGCAACUUGUGUACGUUUGACCUUCAUGUAGAUGGAGGGCACCGGGAUGGUUGCCUUGGAGGAAGCGGGUGCGUUUUGCUUGCAGGAAGGGCAGUUUUCCAAGUACCUCGCAGGUGUCUGGGUGUGGUGUGCAUCAGUGCUGCUCACCAGAUACCUUUGGCUCUCCUCUGGGCAGACGCCAGGGCUGCGUCUUCCCGUGGAGCUCCUUCUUUCGCCUCAGUGGCCAUGGAGACGCGUGUCGAGCCGUGUGUGGUUGGAAGAGUGUCGCAGUGACCCUGUGAGGGGUGAAGAAAGGCCUCUCAGCUCUCUGCUCCUGCAGUGCCAAGAAUUGCUGCACGUGAUGAAACAAACCAAAACACCCUAAAAUACUGGGCGUUGCUGAGGUGACGAAACUUAAAACACAGGGCGGUGCUCGGCCCCUCUCUGCUUGCCUGGUGGCAGGACAGCGAGGAGACUGUCUCAACUAAGAACCGAUGAAGGAGGCCGGGCACGGUGGCUCAAGCCUGUAAUCCCAGCACUUUGGGAGGCCGAGACGGACGGAUCACGAGGUCAGGAGAUCGAGACCAUCCUGGCUAACACGGUGAAACCCC